RNAcentral lists this unclassified non-coding RNA (204 nucleotides) under Hevea brasiliensis (rubber tree). The record is from RNAcentral. Lineage: Eukaryota; Viridiplantae; Streptophyta; Magnoliopsida; Malpighiales; Euphorbiaceae.
AAGGAAUCAGCGUGAAAAUGUUAUUCUUACCAUAGCAAAUGCACAGUCUCGACUUGGCAUACCUGUUCAAGCUGAUCCAAAAAUUGAUGAGAAAGCAAUCAAUGAAGUUUUUUUCAAGGUGCUGGAUAACUACACCAAAUGGUGCAGAUAUUUGCGUAUACGACUUGCAUGGAAUAGUAUUGAAGCAAUUAAUAGGGAGAGGAA